This 163-nucleotide small nuclear RNA is filed under the name Cervus hanglu yarkandensis (Yarkand deer). RNAcentral describes it as "U1 spliceosomal RNA (ENSCHYG00000013473.1)". It matches the Rfam family "U1 spliceosomal RNA". Rfam says of the family: U1 is a small nuclear RNA (snRNA) component of the spliceosome (involved in pre-mRNA splicing). The record is from Rfam by way of RNAcentral. Lineage: Eukaryota; Metazoa; Chordata; Mammalia; Artiodactyla; Cervidae.
AUACUUACCUGGCAGAGGAGAUACCAUUAUCAAGAAGGUGGUUCUCCCAGGGCGAGGCUCCCCCAUUGCACUCCGGUGUGUUGACCUCUGCGAUUUCCUCAAAUAGGGGAAACUCGACUGUGUAAUUUAUGGUAAUGGGGGACUGCCUGCGCCCUUUCCCCUG